AUGAUUUUGGGGAAUCACCUUGCUAUUACUCAAACAAGCAUGAAACAUAUGCUUGCAUAUUCUUCCAUAGGGCAAAUCAGAUAUGUAACUAUGGGAAUAAUUGUUGGAGACUCAAAUGAUGGAUAUGCAAGCAUGAUAACUUAUAUAAUGUUAUAUAUCUCCAUGAAUCUAAGAACUUUUGCUUGCAUUGUAUUAUUUGGUCUACGUACCGGAACUAAUAACAUUCGAGAUUAUGCAGGAUUAUACACGAAAGAUCAUUUUUAGGCUCUCUGUUUAGCCCUAUGUCUCUUAUCCCUGGGAGGCCUUCCUCCACUAGCAGGUUUCUUCGGAAAACUCUAUCUAUUCUGGUGUGGAUGGCAAGCAGGCAUAUAUUUCUUGGUUUCAAUAGGACUACUUACGAGUGUUAUUUCUAUCUAA
Molecule: ribosomal RNA, 417 nt
Filed under: Triticum aestivum (bread wheat)
Lineage: Eukaryota; Viridiplantae; Streptophyta; Magnoliopsida; Poales; Poaceae
Description: partial small subunit ribosomal RNA
Source: RNAcentral